UUCAAGAUAGCUGGUCUGAGGGUGGUUCC
RNAcentral lists this non-coding RNA (29 nucleotides) under Rattus norvegicus (Norway rat). The record is from RNAcentral. Lineage: Eukaryota; Metazoa; Chordata; Mammalia; Rodentia; Muridae.